GAUGAACGCUGGCGGCGUGCCUAAUACAUGCAAGUCGAGCGAACAGACGAGGAGCUUGCUCCUCUGACGUUAGCGGCGGACGGGUGAGUAACACGUGGAUAACCUACCUAUAAGACUGGGAUAACUUCGGGAAACCGGAGCUAAUACCGGAUAAUAUAUUGAACCGCAUGGUUCAAUAGUGAAAGACGGUUUUGCUGUCACUUAUAGAUGGAUCCGCGCCGCAUUAGCUAGUUGGUAAGGUAACGGCUUACCAAGGCAACGAUGCGUAGCCGACCUGAGAGGGUGAUUGGCCACACUGGAACUGAGACACGGUCCAGACACCUACGGGAGGCAGCAGUAGGGAAUCUUCCGCAAUGGGCGAAAGCCUGACGGAGCAACGCCGCGUGAGUGAUGAAGGUCUUCGGAUCGUAAAACUCUGUUAUUAGGGAAGAACAAAUGUGUAAGUAACUAUGCACGUCUUGACGGUACCUAAUCAGAAAGCCACGGCUAACUACGUG
This 497-nucleotide ribosomal RNA is filed under the name uncultured bacterium. Its description in RNAcentral is "partial 16S ribosomal RNA". It matches the Rfam family "Bacterial small subunit ribosomal RNA", at positions 28 to 507 of the family's 1533-position model. The record is from RNAcentral.